RNAcentral lists this unclassified non-coding RNA (261 nucleotides) under Hevea brasiliensis (rubber tree). Lineage: Eukaryota; Viridiplantae; Streptophyta; Magnoliopsida; Malpighiales; Euphorbiaceae. The record is from RNAcentral.
AAAAACAAACCAUUGCCUAUUACAAUAAACCCUUAUCUGCAACUUCAUGGACUAAAUCUACUUAGGAAAAGGAACUUUGGCUCUAGUUCUUGCAAUUCACCAUUAGCAGCCUUAUUUGAUUGGGCAACGGUUUGUCGUUCAUACAGACCAAUGCACCCCUUUGGUAUCUCCUUCAAUAGCCUAUCUCAAUACCAACUCAACAAAACUGGUAAGCCAAGCUUUUGGGAUAUGACUUUGAAAUUGUUUACAAGUUGGGUUCAA